Molecule: RNA transcript, 5227 nt
Organism: Felis catus (domestic cat)
Lineage: Eukaryota; Metazoa; Chordata; Mammalia; Carnivora; Felidae
Gene: RABGAP1
Gene name: RAB GTPase activating protein 1
Exons: 27
Source: RefSeq, a predicted model, not a curated record
UGCUACGAGGGUCUCACCCACGACACGGUGGCUGGCUGCGUUUUCGCGUCCGGGUCUCAACCCCUGGGUGCUUCGCCCCUUUGCAGCGGCUCCUCCACCUGCUGCCCGCAGAGGCUUGAAGGGCGCCUCCGCACUUAAGCCUUGGCAUUUUUAAAAUAUUUAAUCAUUCAUGAGUUGAGCUUCAUUCUUGAGUCAUGGAUGACAAGGCUUCUGUUGGAAAAAUCAGUGUCUCCUCAGACUCAGUAUCUACUCUUAAUAGUGAAGAUUUUGUCUUGGUUUCCAGGCAAGGAGAUGAGACACCAUCUACAAAUAAUGGAAGUGAUGACGAGAAAACAGGACUCAAGAUUAUAGGGAAUGGAAGUGAACAGCAGCUGCAAAAAGAGCUAGCAGAUGUUCUGAUGGAUCCUCCAAUGGACGACCAGCCAGGGGACAAAGAACUUGUGGAAAGGUCACAACUGGAUGGUGAAGGAGAUGGACCUCUUUCUAACCAACUCUCAGCUUCAUCCACCAUUAACCCUGUGCCAUUAGUAGGCCUCCAAAAACCAGAGAUGAGCUUGCCAGUGAGACCUGGACAAGGAGAUUCCGAAGGGUCAAGUCCUUUCACACCAGUGGCUGAUGAGGACAGUGUAGUUUUCAGCAAACUAACUUAUUUAGGCUGUGCCUCAGUAAAUGCUCCCAGGAGUGAAGUGGAAGCAUUAAGGAUGAUGUCCAUCUUAAGAAGCCAGUGUCAGAUUUCACUAGAUGUAACCCUUUCGGUGCCGAAUGUAUCUGAAGGAACUGUGAGACUCUUAGAUCCUCAGACAAACACUGAAAUAGCAAACUACCCUAUCUACAAAAUCCUGUUCUGUGUCAGAGGGCAUGAUGGAACUCCUGAGAGUGACUGUUUCGCUUUCACUGAAAGUCAUUACAAUGCAGAGCUCUUCAGAAUACACGUCUUCCGGUGCGAAAUACAAGAAGCUGUCAGCCGGAUACUUUACAGUUUUGCUACUGCCUUCCGCCGUUCUGCCAAGCAGACCCCACUUUCAGCAGCUGCUGCACCCCAAACUCCUGACAGUGACAUCUUUACCUUCUCUGUGUCUUUAGAAAUAAAAGAAGAUGAUGGUAAAGGUUAUUUUAGUGCAGUUCCUAAGGAGAAGGACAGACAAUGCUUUAAACUUCGCCAAGGAACUGAUAAAAAGAUUGUCAUCUAUGUGCAACAAACAACUAAUAAAGAACUUGCCAUUGAAAGGUGUUUUGGUCUUCUCCUUAGCCCAGGAAAAGAUGUACGAAAUAGUGACAUGCACUUGUUAGAUUUGGAAUCUAUGGGCAAAAGUUCUGAUGGAAAGUCCUAUGUCAUCACUGGGAGUUGGAAUCCAAAAUCUCUGCCUUUUCAAGUUGUAAAUGAAGAAACUCCUAAAGAUAAAGUGCUGUUUAUGACCACAGCUGUUGAUUUGGUAAUAACAGAAGUACAGGAGCCUGUUCGAUUUCUCAUAGAGACAAAAGUCCGUGUUUGCUCACCUAAUGAGAGAUUAUUCUGGCCCUUCAGCAAACGUAGUACCACUGAAAAUUUCUUUUUGAAACUAAAACAGAUAAAGCAGAAGGAAAGAAAGAACAAUACUGAUACUUUAUAUGAAGUUGUGUGCUUGGAAAGUGAAUCAGAAAGAGAGAGGAGGAAAACUACAGCCAGUCCCUCAAUUCGCCUGCCACAGUCUGGAUCUCAGAGUUCCAUGAUACCUUCUCCUCCAGAAGAUGAUGAAGAGGAAGAUAAUGAUGAACCCCUCUUGAGUGGAUUUGGUGAUGUAUCCAAAGAAUGUGCAGGAAAAAUUCUUGAAACAUGGGGAGAACUGCUAUCAAAAUGGCAUCUCAAUUUGAGUGUGAGACCAAAGCAGUUGUCGUCCUUAGUAAGAAGUGGUGUUCCUGAAGCUCUGCGAGGAGAAGUCUGGCAACUGCUAGCAGGUUGUCACAACAAUGACCACCUGGUAGAAAAAUACCGAAUUCUCAUUACAAAGGAGUCUCCCCAGGACAGUGCCAUCACCCGGGAUAUUAACCGGACAUUCCCAGCCCAUGACUAUUUUAAGGACACAGGAGGAGAUGGACAAGAUUCCUUAUAUAAAAUAUGCAAGGCAUAUUCUGUGUAUGAUGAAGAGAUUGGCUAUUGCCAGGGCCAGUCAUUUCUCGCUGCUGUUCUGCUUCUCCAUAUGCCUGAAGAACAGGCAUUCAGUGUUCUGGUCAAGAUCAUGUUUGACUAUGGUCUCAGGGAACUUUUCAAGCAAAACUUUGAAGAUUUGCAUUGCAAAUUUUACCAGUUGGAGCGACUCAUGCAGGAAUACAUCCCUGACCUGUACAACCACUUCCUGGAUAUAAGCCUUGAAGCACACAUGUAUGCCUCCCAGUGGUUUCUUACACUUUUCACUGCAAAAUUCCCUCUCUACAUGGUCUUCCAUAUCAUCGACCUGCUUUUAUGUGAGGGAAUAAGUGUUAUUUUUAAUGUCGCCCUUGGAUUAUUAAAGACUUCCAAGGACGACUUGCUGCUGACAGAUUUUGAAGGUGCCUUGAAGUUCUUCAGGGUCCAGCUUCCGAAGAGAUAUCGCUCAGAAGAAAAUGCGAAAAAGCUAAUGGAAUUAGCUUGCAGCAUGAAGAUUAGUCAGAAGAAAUUGAAAAAAUUUGAAAAAGAAUAUCACACCAUGAGGGAACAGCAGGCCCAACAAGAAGACCCGAUCGAGCGAUUUGAGCGAGAGAACCGGCGUCUACAAGAAGCUAACAUGAGGUUGGAACAGGAAAAUGAUGACUUAGCCCACGAGCUGGUAACCAGCAAGAUUGCACUGCGCAAGGACCUGGAUAACGCUGAAGAGAAGGCAGAUGCACUCAAUAAGGAGCUGCUUAUGACCAAACAGAAGUUGAUUGAUGCGGAGGAAGAGAAGAGACGGCUGGAAGAUGAGUCUGCUCAGUUAAAAGAAAUGUGUCGUCGGGAACUCGACAAAGCAGAAUCUGAGAUUAGAAAAAACAGUUCCAUCAUUGGUGACUACAAGCAGAUUUGUUCUCAGUUGAGUGAAAGAUUGGAGAAGCAGCAGACAGCUAAUAAAGUGGAAAUUGAGAAAAUUCGGCAAAAAGUGGAUGACUGUGAGCGCUGCCGGGAAUUUUUCAACAAGGAAGGUCGCAUAAAGGGCCUGAGCUCAGCCAAGGAGGUUUUAGAUGAGGACACAGAUGAGGAGAAGGAGACCCUGAAGAACCAGCUGAGGGAGAUGGAACUGGAGCUGGCCCAGACCAAGCUGCAGCUGGUGGAAGCGGAGUGCAAGAUCCAGGCCCUGUUCUAGGUGCUGGGGUUGCAAAGCUAAGACAUGGCUUGUGUGACUGUCCAGGACAAUCAGGAAAAGCACCACCAAGGCAGCAGUAUGUGAGCUGCGGUCAAAGAAUGAACCAGGGUUGCAGCUGCAGAAGAGAGAGAACAGACUUGGAGCACCAUUUAGGCCUUGCCCUGAACGAGGUACAGGCCGCCAAGAAGACGUGGUUUAACCGAACCCUGAGCUCCAUAAAGACGGCAACGGGGGUUCAAGGGAAAGAGACUUGCUGAGCGAAGUGGCUGCCUCCAGACACCUUCAGAAAACACGACACCUUUUGUUGCCUUCUUUGGCCAGAUGUGUGAUUCUGUGACAUGUCCCAGGACCAGAAUGUACCUAAGUCAGAUCCAUAGCAGCAUGUUGGUAGGUCAUUGGACCAGAGCUCAUGAAGCAGGCAGCCUCUCUGGGGUAAGGCUCUCCUAACUACUGAUGCUAACAGGCCUGCUGGCUGAGUGACGCUCUGGACACGCUCUGGGAAACCAUCCUCCGUGUGAGCUCCCAGGCCUCUUCCUGGUGUGGGUCACCAUCUCACCCAGCCCAAGGGCUGAGUUGACAUUAUCGGAGUUUGGGGAUCCUUCAGGCUUUUGGUUUUUUUCUAAACCUUUAAUCUUUUUUUGUUUGUUUUUAAAUAUACAUAUUAUAUAUAUAUUGUGGGGUGGGGGUGGGGGGGCAGGGGAUCAGUAUCGCAAAUAAUUCUUAUCUACUUCGUGCCAGCAUAGGGUCCUCCAGGUAGACGCGGAGAAGCACUUUGUUUUAAAUAGGAGGGUUUCCUGGUUGUAGUUGAAGCCACCUAGUUUUGUUAAAGAACACAUUGCACAGGUGUUGGGUUUGGCAUUAUUCACGUUUCUGAUCAAUUCUAUGCAACUCUUCUAGUUCCUCGUUUUUAGUGUUAGCUGCCAAAACGUCACAGGGCUGGGCUGGGCGACUUGACUGACUGUGAGACAGGGUGAAUCAUAACGUGGACAAAUCUUAUUUUGCUUCAUGUGUCGUGUGUGUGUGUGUGUGUGUGUGUGUGUGUGUGUGUGUGUAUAAAUAUCUUUUCCCAGUGUGCCCAACUGACAGUGUUUAAAUCCCAGACCGAGACUGAUCUGCACAACCUAAUUAUGUGGAUAUUUGGGCACUUAACGUCACUCCAGUUCUGCUGGGCUCCACUCUCCUCCCCCACCCUCUCGAGAGCUGGGAAACGCUCCAUCACUUCAAGGUCCCUAGUGCUUUUGCACAACAGGUCAUACAGGCGAGGAGGACACUGCGCCGUGUGUGUGUGUGUGUGUGUGUGUGUGUGUGUGUGUGUGUGUGUGUGUAGACACAUGUGCGGGAUGCACAGGCCCAGGCCCGGUCCUGCUGACCCGUGUCCCUCCCUGGCUGUCUGGGCCCCCGGGCCCUCCCCCGAGUGUGCUGGGUGCAGACCUCACUGUUCAGAUGGGCUGCAGGUUCUCACUUCAAAACUACAGAAUAGAGGUUUUAGCACCUUUAAAAAAACAAAUAACCUAGACCUUUUAAUUUAUAUAGUGAUAUGCUGACGGGCUGGCGCCGAUGAUCUGGUCUCCGCACGCAGGGUGCAGGUAGCUGUUCUAAGAGGCACUGGUUUGUGUAUAAAGAUUCUUGGGUUGUUUUGUAUCUCUUUUCCUGUUGGCUAUACUAACGCUUGCUGAGGUCACUGUGACAAGGGAGGUAACAAUGGCAACCCCCACCCCCCGAACCACACCCUCCACCGCUUUCUGUGUCUUUCUUGUUCAGUUACCAAAACAGCUGUAAGCCCAUCUAAAACUAGGUGCGUGGACAUUGUGCUAGGGUAGUUUCAGUGUGUCAACUUUAUGAACUGAAAUAUAAACCAGUAAAAUUGUAUUACUAUUUCUUUUGUUGGUUUUAUUUUAACAGCAUAUUCAUUAAAUAUUUUGGUACAAAGAGCA